Molecule: long non-coding RNA, 565 nt
Organism: Callithrix jacchus (white-tufted-ear marmoset)
Lineage: Eukaryota; Metazoa; Chordata; Mammalia; Primates; Cebidae
Source: RefSeq, a predicted model, not a curated record
UCGGGGGUUGUGUGGGUGGUGCGUGCGCGUGCGUGGGUGGGUGGGGUGGCCCUGGGAAAGGUGCUCCCGGAGGGAAGGCAUCCAAGCGGAUUCUACCCAGAGAAAUGAAAACUCCAUCCACGCGAAGACUAUGCGAAUGGCCACAGCAGCAGGAUUCACUAAAGCCCCAAACCGGAAGCAACACAGAUGUCCACGGACAGAAGAGUGGACAAACAAAAUGUGGUCCACGCAUGCGACGGACCGUGCUUCAGCCACAAAACGGAAUGAGGGCCUGAUGCAGCCUCCAGCGAGGAUGGGGCCUGAGAACACGCCCAAGGACCAGGAGACACGCGUGACAUCAGGAGUGUCCGGAGCUUAGGUCACUGGCUGCCAGGGCUGGGGAGGAGCUCGGGGAGAGGGGGGGACUGAUGGGUUUCGAGAGGACUUCUUGGGGUGAUGGAGGGAGCAUAAAGGUGGGUCAUUGCACAACCCUGACCUGCUGGAAAGCAAAUGCCAUCACAGCACACACUGAACGGCGAGUCUGGCGGUUUGUAAAUUACACUCCUGUAGAGCUGCACCCAUCUCA